Molecule: ribosomal RNA, 869 nt
Filed under: uncultured Paenibacillus sp.
Lineage: Bacteria; Bacillati; Bacillota; Bacilli; Caryophanales; Paenibacillaceae
Description: bacterial SSU rRNA
Rfam family: Bacterial small subunit ribosomal RNA
Source: RNAcentral
CAAUGGAAAUGGGGGACUGAAUGCAAAGAGGAAAGCGAAUUUCCCGGUUAACGGGAAAAUGCUUAGGAAUUGGAGGAACCCCAGUGGGGAAGGGCGGUUUUUGGAUUGUAAAUGACGCUGAGGCGGAAAAGCGUGGGGAGAAAACAGGAUUUGAUACCCUGGUAGUCCACGCCGUAAAGGAUGAGUGCUAGGUGUGGGGGUGUCAUGCCCUCGGUGCGAAGGUAACACAUUAAGCACUCCGCCUGGGGAGUACGUUCGCAAGACUGAAACUCAAAGGAAUUGACGGGGACCCGCACAAGCAGUGGAGUAUGUGGUUAAUUCGAAGCAACGCGAAGAACUUUACCAGGUCUGNACAUCCCUCUGAAUACGCUAGAGAUAGGGUAGGCCUUCGGGACAGAGGAGACAGGUGGUGCAUGGUUGUCGUCAGCUCGUGUCGUGAGAUGUUGGGUUAAGUCCCGCAACGAGCGCAACCCUUGAUCUUAGUUGCCAGCACCUUGGGUGGGCACUCUAGGAUGACUGCCGGUGACAAACCGGAGGAAGGUGGGGAUGACGUCAAAUCAUCAUGCCCCUUAUGACCUGGGCUACACACGUACUACAAUGGUCGGUACAACGGGAAGCGAAGGAGCGAUCUGGAGCGAAUCCUUAUAAGCCGAUCUCAGUUCGGAUUGCAGGCUGCAACUCGCCUGCAUGAAGUCGGAAUUGCUAGUAAUCGCGGAUCAGCAUGCCGCGGUGAAUACGUUCCCGGGUCUUGUACACACCGCCCGUCACACCACGAGAGUUUACAACACCCGAAGUCGGUGGGGUAACCCGCGAGGGAGCCAGCCGCCGAAGGUGGGGUAGAUGAUUGGGGUGAAGUCGUAACAAGGUAA